UAGUUGCGUUUCCACCCAAGAGAGUUCGGUCGGUGCGGCGUGUGUGUGUAUAUUGAAUAGAGUGAACCAAUAAAAGACCAAACAUAAUAAAAAAAGAACUUUGAAGAGAGAAAUAAUCAAAAAAUGUUGCCUUCCGCGACAUUUUUCUGUGUUACCGUCGUGAUCGUGGGGAUUUUAGGCGAGAUUAAGGGGCUGGAUCCGAACUUGGGGUCCGCGGGGGCAGUUUCGCACUUCGAGCCCCAGGUCGCCAUUUUAUGCGACGCGGGGCCCCGGGGACAAGAAGCCUAUCAGCCCAAGUACAUGACCGAGCAGGGGGAGUGGGCCUCCGACUUAAGGUCAAAGGCCGCCUGUCUCAAGGACAAAAUGGAUAUUCUUAAUUACUGCAAAAUGGUAUAUCCUAAAAGGGACAUAACCAACAUUGUAGAGAGUAGUCACUACCUGAAAAUCGGUUCCUGGUGUAGAGCCGGUGCCACUCCGGGUUCUCAAAGUCGCGGCAAAUGUAAAACUGCCAGAUGGGUUAAACCUUUCAGGUGUUUAGAGGGUCCAUUCCAGUCCGACGCCUUGCUGGUACCAGAGAACUGCAUGUUCGACCACAUCCAUAACCAGAGCAACUGUUGGACCUUCGGUCGGUGGAAUUCUACCGCCGGUACCGCUUGCCAAGAAAAAGGACUCCAGUUGAGGUCGUUCGCUAUGCUGCUUCCAUGCGGAAUUUCCCUGUUUAGCGGAGUGGAGUUCGUUUGCUGUCCGAAACACUUUAAAGAAAACGUAAAACCAAAGAAACCCAUUGACUUGUCGAUCCUCAAAAAAGAGCAAGACAUCUUCUCAGAUCCUUUGGACGAUACCGACGACGAUUCAGACGAAGAUGACGACAAUGACGAUCUGGACGACUUGGUAGAUGACACCGAACUAUCCGAAGAUCCCACUAUUGAUGACGACGAUGUUGAUGACGAAGAUGACGACGAUUAUGAUGAAACCGAUUGGGAUACUACCUCGCAAAGCACCACCAGCAGCUCCAAGUAUACCCCGUCGGUUAGUUCAACCACUACUACCACAUCAACCACCACCACUACAACCGAGAAACCUACAACUGAAUCCACUCCCGACCCUUACUUUACGCACUUUGACCCUAGAAACGAACAUCAGAGUUAUAAAGAAGCGCAAGAACGUUUAGAAGAGACACACAGAGAGAAAGUUACGAGGGUAAUGAAAGACUGGUCGGAUCUGGAGGAACGUUAUCAGGACAUGCGGUCGACAGAUCCACGAAGUGCGGACGAGUUUAAGCAAAGGAUGACUCAGAGGUUCCAGCAAACCGUGCAGGCUUUAGAGGAGGAGGGAGAUGCCGAGAAACACCAAUUGGCCGCCAUGCAUCAGCAAAGAGUUCUAGCUCACAUUAAUCAGAGGAAAAAGGAGGCCAUGACUUGCUACACUCAGGCUUUAAAUGAUAAUCCACCGAACACCCACAGGGUACAGAAAUGUCUACAAAAACUGCUGAGAUCGUUACACAAGGACCGCGCCCACGCCAUUUCCCACUAUCGCCAUCUGUUGGCGAGUAGCAUCGAGGCGGCGGCUCGCGAGCAACCGCGAGUACUGGAACGACUCACCGAUAUCGAUCGGACCGUCAAUCAGAGCAUGCAAAUGCUCAAGAGGUAUCCAGAGUUGGCCUCGAGAAUCGGACAGUUAAUGGACGAUUAUAUUCAAGCGUUAAGAUCAAAGGAUGAAACGCCUGGUUCACUUCUAGCUAUGACCUCCGACGCAGAGCAAGCGAUUUUGGACAAAUACAAAGCGGAAAUCACCAAUAAACAAGCAGAAAGAGAAAGACAACGGUUACAAGAGAAAGAGCGAAAGGAGCAAAGGAAAAAGGAGCGAACGGAACUGAAGGAGGAAAAGAAGAGAGUGGAGGCGGCUUUGGGCAAAACCAUUAGUAACAUGGACGAGGACGAUAUGGAGGAAGACAUUGCGGCGGUUGAUGAUAAACCAUCAACUCCGGUAUUCGUGGUAUCGACGGUCGAGAGUACCUCCGCCGAGAUCGCGAGUAGCUACGCCCCGACUCCGACCGUCGGCGGUCACAAGGAGGUGGACGAUGUGGCGGUUCAGGAGGCGGUCGAGGAGGUGGCGAAGGCGGCCGCCUCUCACCGGCAGGACGUCAUCCGGGUGGCGCAUAUAAUGUCGCACGACUUGAGUCACGGAGAACCGUCAUUCUCUGUUCGACGAGAGAUCUACGGCCAUAAGGAUGGCAGAAGUGUCUACAUCACGAUCGCAUUCGCCGGAAUGGCCUUAAUGGCCGCGAUCGUGGUGGGAGUUGCGGUGGCCAAACGCGGAUCUACUCGGUCUCCACAAAGUCAAGGAUUUGUCGAAGUAGACCAAGCAGCGACCCCCGAAGAAAGACACGUGGCAAACAUGCAAAUUAACGGUUACGAAAACCCCACCUACAAAUACUUUGAGGUGAAGGAGUAGGUAACUUCUUAAACUGUAUAAAUAACGGAAUUAUAUAACACUGUUAUUUCCUUUAUUAAUUAAUUAAUUAAUUAGCAAACCUUCUUGUGUUCGUUUCGGUUCGUUGUAUAUUUAUUUCCGAUAUAAUGACGCUUUAGGAGCAAUAUUCUAUUGAUCUGUGGUUUUUUUUUGUAUAUUAAGUUGUUAAGUUUGAUAUUAGUUUUCAAGGGUUGGAUUAUUCAACCCAUUUAAGUAAUUGACAAACCGUGGUACAUUCAAUCAUUCCAAGUUUUUCUUUUUUUAUAUAUAUAUUUAUAUUAUUUUACUUAAGUAGUAGGUUUGUACUUAAUAAUAAUACUCUUAACGCAACUUGAUAAUAAUAAUUCUUACAUAUGCAAAACAAAAGUAUAUAUAAAAUAUUUUGGAGUUUUAAAAGGAAAACUUUAAAUAUAUUAUGAUUAGUCAUGAUUUUUUGCAUAUGACAGUCCACAUUUUUAACAAACAAAAUGAAUAAAAAAAAAACAAAUUACGUAACCCGUAGCGGAGAGGGAGGGUCAAACUAAAUGAUGCAAAAAAUUCUGAUUGACCUUCCUCCUUUGCUCUCCCUUUUAGUUGUAUUGUAAUUAUACACUCAGUUGGAAGUAAUUAUUUAUUUAUGCAAGGUGGGUCAAAAGUAAGUGAUGUAAACCUUUAAGGAGUAUAAAAAAUGUAGGAAGUGGUUUGUUUUCUUAAAGGAUGUUAGAUCAAUGUUUAUACUUGUCAGACUAUUUAUUUACAAGCAAUAGAUCUUUUUUUAAGUUUUCGUUGGAUUUCCAGGCAUUUGAAAUAAUAAUUCAUGGUCUACAGGCAUUUUAUGUCUUCCUUUUUGGUUUUUCGUUGAUUUAAUCACGUUUUCGGCAUAAUUUCCUAAAUAUUCAAAACUAUUGAUUUAAUGUCUAAUGAAUUCCAAAUAAUUAAAGAAGUUCUUCAUAUUUUCGAGGCUUUCGGAGUAUUUUUUAAUAUAUUCCAGGCAUUUGAACAAAUAUUUUUUAGUUUUCAGGCAUUUUUUUAAUUAGUUUGGUUUAAUAACAUUUUCUACGUUUUUGGAAUAGUUCCUGAAAUAAUAUUCCAGACAUUUGAUGCAUAGUGAAUUCAUCAAUCAAAGGAUUAAGUUUUUCAUAUUUUCCAGAUCCUGCAUGUCAUUUUUCAUGUUUUUAGGGGGUUUCUAGAUGUUAUUUUAUACAUUCAAGUAUUCCAGUUAUUUUAAAAAAUAUUUCACUUUUUUGGAAUAAUUUCUUAAAUAUUUCCGACAUUCGAUUUAAUUUUUAAUGUAUUCCAGGCUUUUGAAGAAGUUUUUCAGACAUUUGGAAUAAUUAUUCAUCUAUUACAGGCAACCGUGUUACAACACUUGUUCUAUUCAAGUUAUUUAGGAUAUUGUUUCUUAUUUUAUAGCCUCACGAAGACAUCAAAAAUCGCAUUGGGUGCAUGAAAUUAUUUUAAUAGAAAAAAAACUUUAUAGCAAUAAAAUGCAAAAUUACUGCAAGUUUCAAGAAGAAAUGUAUCGACAUCCCAUUAGACAUCAACAUAUAAUUUAAACCACUUAAAUAAUUUGUAUAAAUUUAAAAUACUUUCCAUCCAUCCUUUAAAAAACACUGACAACUUACUUUUGUAUCACCACCCCCGUGUCGGAUCAAAAUAAAAUUAUUCGUGUAUGAUUACAAUAACAAGUUAGCAGCUAGACUUGUAUGGUACCCUCCAUAUUAUACUUAAUAUUAACAUUAAAAAAUUAGAUCGUAACGUGCAAUAUGUUACCCGACAGCUUUUGUACAAAGUCUUAUUUUGUUACAAGUUUAAUCCGGUUUUUUCUAGUGGAUUAAUAAUCGGUGAAUAUCGUCUUUAUUCUAUGAGAGAAAAUCCAAUCUGGUUCAAUAUUGACUUCUCUUUUUAGUAUAAUUAAUCUGAGACAAGGUGUUUCGGUAACUGUGUUAAUAAAUUCCGUUUAUUAAUCAUUACAGGCUCUCAAAGAUGAUGGUGAAAAGUUUUUCAAUUUUUUUUGGACCCAGUGCAAACAUUUUCAUAAUUUUGUUAAAAAUGGUCCAAAUUUGUUGAAAGUUGCUUUAAUUGGUUUGGAAAACUUCGGUUUUUAUUUAUAAAAAAUAUUGCAAGUCAAUAUUUUUAAUAAGGAAUUUGUUACAGGCUGUCAAAGAUCAUCGUGGACAUUUUUCCAAUUUUUUUCAGGCCCAGUACAAAAAUCUUCAUAACUUUGGUAAAAAUGGUCCAAAUUUGUUGAAAGUUACUUUAAUUGGUUUGGAAGACUUCAGUUUUUAUUUUUUUUAAUAUUCCAAGUCAAUAUUCUCAACAGGGAACUUGUUACAGGCUGUCAAAGAUCAUCGUGAACAUUUUUCCAAUUUUUUUUGGACCCAGUACAAAAAUUUUCAUAACUUUGUUAAAAAUGGUCCAAAUUUGUUGGAAGUUACUUUAAUUGGUUUGGAAAACUUCAGUUUUUAUUUAAAAAAAUAUUGCAAGUCAAUAUUCUUUAUAGGGAAUUUGUUACAGGCUGUCAAAGAUCAUCGUGGACAUUUUUCCAAUUUUUUUGGACCCAGUACAAAAAUCUUCAUAACUUUGGUAAAAAUGGUCCAAAUUUAUUGAAAGUUGCUUUAAUUAGUUAGGAAAACUUCAAUUUCUAUUUAAAAAAAUAUUACAAGACAAUAUUCUCAACAGGGAAUUUUUUACAGGCUGUCAAAGAUGAUGGUGAAAAUUUUUCCAAUUUUUUUGGACCCACUACAAAAUUCUUCAUAACUUUGUUAAAAAUGGUCCAAAUUUGUUGAAAGUUGCUUUAAUUUGUUAAGAAAACUCGAAUUUGCAUAAAAAAAAUUAUUCCAAGCGAAUUUUCUUAAUACGGAAUUUUUUACAGGCUGUCAAAGAUCAUCGUGGAAAUUUUUCCAAUUUUUUUUGACUCAGUACAAAAAUCUUCAUAACUUUAUUAAAAAUGGUCCAAAUUUGUUGAAAGUUGCUUUAAUUAGUUAGGAAAACUUCAAUUUGCAUUAAAAAAUAUAUUACAAAUGAAUAUUCUUAACAGGGAAUUUGUUACAGGCUGUCAAAGAUCAUCGUGAAAAUUUUUUCAAUGUUUUUGGACCCAGUACAAAAAUCUUCAUAAUUUUCUUAAAAAUGGUCCAAAUUUGUUGAAAGUUGCUUUAAUUUGUUUAGAAAACUGAAAUUUGCAUAAAAAAAAAUAUUCCAAGCGAAUUUUCUUAAUAGGGAAUUUUUUACAGGCUGUCAAAGAUCAUCGUGAAAAUUUUUCCAAUUUUUUUGGACCCACUACAAAAAUCUUCAUAAUUUUCUUUAAAAUGGUCCAAAUUUGUUGAAAGUUGCUCUAAUUUGUUUGGAAAACUUCAAUUUGCAUAAAAAAAAUUAUUCCAAGUGCAUAUUCUUAAUAGGGAAUUUGUUAUAGGCUGUCAAAGGUCAUCGUGAAAAAUUUUCCAAUUUUUUUGGACCCAGUACAAAAAUCUUCAUAACUUUGUUAAAAAUGGUCCAAAUUUGUUGAAAGUUGCUUUAAUUUGUUUAGAAAACUGAAAUUUGCAUAAAAAAAAAUAUUCCAAGCGAAUUUUCUUAAUAGGGAAUUUUUUACAGGCUGUCAAAGGUCAUCGUGAAAAAUUUUCCAAUUUUUUUUGGACCCAGUACAAAAAUCUUCAUAAUUUUGUUAAAAAUGGUCCAAAUUUGUUGAAAGUUGCCUCAAUUUGUUUGGAAAACUUCAAUUUGCAUAAAAAAAAUUAUUCCAAGUGAAUAUUCUUAAUAGGGAAUUUGUUACAGGCUGUCAAAGAUCAACGUGGAAUUUUUUCCAAUUUUUUUUGACUCAGUACAAAAAUCUUCAUAACUUUAUUAAAAAUGGUCCAAAUUUGUUGAAAGUUGCUUUAAUUAGUUAGGAAAACUUCAAUUUUCAUUAAAAAAUAUAUUACAAGUGAAUAUUUUUAACAGGGAAUUUGUUACAGGCUGUCAAAGAUCAUCGUGAAAUAUUUUCCAAUUUUUUUGGACCCAGUACAAAAAUCUUCAUAACUUUGUUAAAAAUGGUCCAAAUUUGUUGAAAGUUGCUUUAAUUUGUUUGGAAAACUUCAAUUUGCAUUAAAAAAUUAUUCCAAGUGAAUAUUCUCAACAGGGACUUUUUUACAGGCUGUCAAAGAUGAUGGUCAAAAUUUUUCCAAUUUUUUUGGACCCACUACAAAAAUCUUCAUAAUUUUCUUAAAAAUGGUCCAAAUUUGUUGAAAGUUACCUUAAUCUGUCUGGAAAACUUCAGUUCCUAUUUAAAAAGACAUUCCAAGUCAAUAUUCUUAAUAGGAAAAUUGUCACAGCCUGUCAAAUAUGAUGGUAAAAAUUUUCCCAAUUUCUUGGGCAUCCGGUACAAAAACCCUCAUAAUUCCCCAUCACUCACUAUUAGGAAAAACGCAAAACGUUAAAUUCUUUAAAGUAAGUUAAACAAAAAAUCGGAAAUUGUACUUUAUUUAUCUUACAUCUAGGGGAAUAUAAGUAAUUCAGACUCUACUAUUAUGAUAACAGUAUAACUAUGAUUUCAUUUGAUGAUUAUUUAGUAGUAGGUCGAAACACGCAUUACGGUUUUUUUCACGGGUAGCAAUAAAUUGGCUUAAGUCUGAUAAUUUCUCUAACGCAUAAAGCAAGGGAGUUUAACCUAAUAAAAUGGACAGUUUUAAUGCCUUCCUGAGGACGGUAAUAUGGUUUAGCCGAAACGUGCGUCUCGUGGCAGUAGAAAAUGAUGUGUUUGAAUAUAUUUUCAAGGCACUUUUUAGGUUCUCAAGACCUUUGAAGAAGUGUUUCGUUAUCUGCAGGAUUAUGAGGUACAUUUGAUGUAUUCCAGGAAUUUAAUUAACAAAUUUCAUUACUUUAUAUUUUCCAAGCUUUUGGAAUUCGUUUAGGCCCCUUAAGGUAAUUGUUUGUAUAUCCCAUGUAUGUAAAGACAUUUUUUUUACCUUUCAAUGGCAUCAGAUAAACUAGAUAAAAUUCAUCAUCACUAGGCAUUAUGUGUUAACUAAUAGUGCGACAGCUGUCACCCAAGAUAAGAGAAAAAAAAGAGGGAUCCUUGGACUACUAAUACUGAAAUUAUGUCAUCUCGAAGAACAAAUAAUAAACGUCUGUUCCGAUCAUCAUUUAGUGUCUGACGUUGGUAUUGUAGGGUCUUGAAACAAGUGACAUUUUACCUUUGGAAUCUCGCUGAAGGGGACGAUAUUCACACGUUAUACCACCAGAGUUUUUAAGGUGUGAAGCAUUUUUUGUAUAACACACUUUAUCAAUUUUAUACUGGGUGUCUUUAACUUGCUAUAAUAACUCAGAACGUGUAGUGACUCUAUUAUUAUUAUUAUUUAUGUCGGUGUAUUGAUUAUUGAAGACACCUUGCAUAGAAUUAUAUACAGGGGAUCCCAUUGUGGUAAGAAAACAAUUCUUUGGUUUGCUUGGCUCACGGGACACCCCAGUAUGCAGUCAAUAAUAACGUUUUACGCUUCUCAAGCUCGAAUGAUUCAAGAUGGAAAAAAGCUUGUACGUAAGCACUCGUUUCCUUUCGAAUUUUAUACUUUGUAAAUAAAUACUGUGACAUUGAUUUAUUUUCUUUUCUUUUUAAAUAGAGGAAUUUCGUUUGCUCUAAAAUAAUUGCGACUUUCUGUACUGUAAUGCUUUCUAGGGAGCUAAUUUCGUGAAGAAAAAAAAAGAAGACUUUUCGGUAAUAAUCUCAUAUCAAAAUUUUUGAAAGUCAAUCAGUAUUUUACAUGCUUAAACUAAUAAGGUAGCUUAAAUGUGUACAGAAAGGAAAUCUUAAAUUUCCAUUAAGGUUAUAUAAUGAUUAAAAUUCCCUUUAGAUUAAAAUGGAAAGUGCAAAGCAUAACCUUGAAUAAGAUAUAGCGUUUAUGUGCUGAUGAUAAACCUUUUCGUACUAAAAAAAUAAUGAUACUUUAAUUAACCUUUUCCUUCGAUUCUGUGAAAACAUAUUUUGUUAGAUUAGUUUAGUAGAUAACAUUAAUGUUUUGUGGCCAUGUAAUUUUAAAUUUAAUGUAAUAAAUAAAUAAAUAAAUUAUUAAACG
RNAcentral lists this unclassified non-coding RNA (8495 nucleotides) under Anthonomus grandis grandis. RNAcentral describes it as "amyloid-beta-like protein". Lineage: Eukaryota; Metazoa; Arthropoda; Insecta; Coleoptera; Curculionidae. The record is from RNAcentral.